GAACAGCCCAGAAGGACAAGAAUUUCCUGCUCCCAAGCUUCAGGAAGGAAAAGGGAAARGAGAUAAAGCAACUUGGCUGUAUUUUAGCCAAUCUGAUGCAUGAGACACCCUACAGCUCAGGAAGCUGGAGAACGCCAGUUGUGUGGGCAAAAACAGCUCAAGAGGAACACAAGGCCAGCAGGCAAGCUGUGCUUGGUGGACUGCUUAGUGCAUUUGGGUGUGGAAAUUAGACCUAUCAUGUGGAAAUAUUUCAGCUUUUAAAACAGCUUUGUUUUACCAAAAUUGUAUUUUCCAAGCCAGAAGGUUCUGUGUACUUCACUAGAGAGUUUCCUCAAAAGCCUCCAGGGCAAGAGAGGAGCCAAGCCGGGCUGGAGGACG
Nothoprocta perdicaria is the source of this 378-nucleotide long non-coding RNA. RefSeq lists it as uncharacterized. The record is from RefSeq and is a predicted model, not a curated record. NCBI's taxonomy places the organism in Eukaryota, Metazoa, Chordata, Aves, Tinamiformes, Tinamidae. The transcript is spliced from 2 exons.